AGUACGUGAAACUGCUUAGAGGUUAAACCCGAUGAACCUGAAUAUCCAUUAUGGAAAAUUCAAUACUAAUAUUAUAAUAUUUCAAAAGAAUAUUUUAUAAGAAUAGUGUGCAAUUUUUCCAUAUAAGGACAUUGUAAUCUGUUAAUGUUAUAAAUAUUUAUCAAAAGAUUCUUUACUUAAGUUUAUUCAAAUUGUUUAUUUUCGGAUAUUCAACAUAAAAUAAAUGUAUUGAAUUGGAUAAAUCAUUGACAGAUAUAAUUAUAUAAUAUGCUUAAAUUCUAAUUAUUGAAUUUUGCAAUAAUAAAUAAAAUAUAUAUUUUGUUUAUUUAUUUGCCUGCAUUUUAUUAUGAUUAACAAUGCGAUAGAUUCAGGAUACCUUCGGGACCCGUCUUGAAACACGGACCAAGGAGUCUAACAUAUGUGCAAGUCAUUGGGUAUUUAUAAUAAAACCCAAUGGCAUAAUUAACUUAACUGUUUUUAAUAAUAUGGGAUUAAUUUAUAAUUUUAUUAUAAAUUAUUUAUACAAUCCCGGGGCGUUCUAUAUAGUUAUGUAUAAUAAUAUUUAUAUUAUUUAUACCUCUAACUAGAGCGUACCUUGAGC
Molecule: ribosomal RNA, 601 nt
Filed under: Ocyptamus sp. 2 XM-2008
Lineage: Eukaryota; Metazoa; Arthropoda; Insecta; Diptera; Syrphidae
Description: eukaryotic LSU rRNA
Source: RNAcentral